Molecule: long non-coding RNA, 1012 nt
Filed under: Meleagris gallopavo (turkey)
Lineage: Eukaryota; Metazoa; Chordata; Aves; Galliformes; Phasianidae
Description: lncRNA (ENSMGAG00000018983.1)
Source: RNAcentral
CAGGCGGGCGGGACUUCCCCCGUCUAUACAUAAUGCAUGACCUGGGCGCUUUGCAAUGAAGCCCUGCUAAUUGGCUAAUUAAAAAGUGAAACGCGCGGAAGGAGCCACCGCGGUAUCCACAGGAGACCCUCACUGCCGCACCCUGGGGCUGUGUGUGCCAGUGCCUUCAGCUCAAUGGAGCCGGGGGCACGCAGCCCUGGGGCAGCCCGGAACGAGAGGCUGAUGCUGGAAGCAGCCUUCUUGCCUUCUUGCCUUCUUUUGAAUCUUUUUUUUUUGCGCCUGAAGAUUUUGUGACCCAGGAUGAUGUAGUGGGACCCCAGACGUUUCCCAGUAUCGUGGACACCUUCCUGGUGGGCCGCCUGGUGCUGCUGGCCUUCAUGGCCCUGCUGCUGCUGGGCUGCGUGCUGCUGCUGGGGCUGCACCUCCUGGAGCCGAUACACGCCAAGGCGCUGCGCUGCUGGAGCACUGAGGGAAAGUCCUCGAGAAGUGGAUCCCCUUUUCGUGGCAGUAAACCGGGUGACCGAGUUGGGGCGUUGAUUUUUACUGAAUCAAUUUUCACAAAUUGUUGGGUUUUUUAAUUCUUUUUUAACAUUAAUAAAACUUUUGGAGGAAGCCCUGGCCCAGUCUUUAUCUGUUUUCCACGAAUAGGAGUUUUGCAGCAUUUUGAUGUUAGUGAAAGCUGCCCUUUCUAUGCUUUUUGGGAGUUUUGUCCUUUCUAGGUGUGGGGGGGUUGGGAUGCUCACUGUGCUCUGCUCCCAGUUAUGCAACACCAGCAUUGGCUCUCUGGGAGAUUCUGAAGUUGAGCCUGAAACAGAAUUUGUAUUUGAUUCUUCAUCUUAAUAACAGACUGCAGUGAGCAGUUCCCAAAGCCUCACUGCUGGCAUCCCGUCUCACAAAUAGGGAAGCUGUGGCAAAGCAGCUGAAGCGCUAAAAAAAAGCCCUAAAAGCAGAAGCGUGAGGCUUCUCCCUGGAAAUACACCCCAAAUGUUUGCUUUAUGCUCCCGUUAGUCAC